RNAcentral lists this ribosomal RNA (477 nucleotides) under uncultured bacterium. RNAcentral describes it as "bacterial SSU rRNA". It matches the Rfam family "Bacterial small subunit ribosomal RNA", at positions 365 to 832 of the family's 1533-position model. The record is from RNAcentral.
UUCGCAAUGCCCGAAAGGGUGACGAAGCGACGCCGCGUGUGGGAAGAAGGCCUUCGGGUUGUAAACCACUGUCGGGAGUUAAGAAAUGCAAGGAUGUUAAUAGCGUUCUUGCUUGACUAAGGCUCCGGAGGAAGCCACGGCUAACUCUGUGCCAGCAGCCGCGGUAAUACAGAGGCGGCAAGCGUUGUUCGGAAUUAUUGGGCGUAAAGAGCACGUAGGCGGCUGUGUAAGUCGGUUGUGAAAGCCUUCCGCUUAACGGAAGAACGGCAUCCGAUACUACAUGGCUUGAGUGCGGGAGGGGAGAGUGGAACUUCUGGUGGAGCGGUGAAAUGCGUAGAUAUCAGAAGGAACGCCGGCGGCGAAAGCGGCUCUCUGGCCCAUAACUGACGCUGAGUGUGCGAAAGCUAGGGGAGCAAACGGGAUUAGAUACCCCGGUAGUCCUAGCCGUAAACGAUGGGCACUAAGUAGAGGGGUUUU